This 388-nucleotide ribosomal RNA is filed under the name Moritella sp. PE36. RNAcentral's name for it is "bacterial LSU rRNA". It matches the Rfam family "Bacterial large subunit ribosomal RNA", at positions 2544 to 2925 of the family's 2925-position model. The record is from RNAcentral. Lineage: Bacteria; Pseudomonadati; Pseudomonadota; Gammaproteobacteria; Alteromonadales; Moritellaceae.
AUCCUGGGGCUGAAGUUGGUCCCAAGGGUAUGGCUGUUCGCCAUUUAAAGUGGUACGCGAGCUGGGUUUAGAACGUCGUGAGACAGUUCGGUCCCUAUCUGCCGUGGGCGUUUGAGAAUUGAGAGGAGCUGCUCCUAGUACGAGAGGACCGGAGUGGACGAACCACUGGUGUUCGGGUUGUCAUGCCAAUGGCAUUGCCCGGUAGCUAAGUUCGGAACUGAUAACCGCUGAAAGCAUCUAAGCGGGAAGCAGGCCUCGAGAUGAGUUCUCACUGGAGCUUUAAGCUCCCUGAAGGGCCGUUGGAGACUACAACGUUGAUAGGCAAGGUGUGUAAGUGCUGUGAGGCAUUGAGCUAACUUGUACUAAUUACCCGUGAGGCUUAACCAUA